GUGAGGAAUAUUGCGCAAUGGAGGCAACUCUGACGCAGCCAUGCCGCGUGCAGGAAGAAGGCGCUACGCGUUGUAAACUGCUUUUAACCGGGAAGAAACCCCAGGACGUGUCCUGGGUUGACGGUACCGGAGGAAUAAGCACCGGCUAACUUCGUGCCAGCAGCCGUGGUAAUACGAAGGGUGCAAGCGUUAUCCGGAUUCAUUGGGUUUAAAGGGUGCGUAGGCGGAGCGUUAAGUCAGUGGUGAAAUCCUGCAGCUUAACUGUAGACUUGCCAUUGAUACUGGCGCUCUUGAGUGCGCUUGAAGUGGGCGGAAUGUGCCGUGUAGCGGUGAAAUGCUUAGAUAUGGCACAGAACACCAAUUGCGAAGGCAGCUCACUAAGGCGAUACUGACGCUGAGGCACGAAAGCGUGGGGAUCGAACAGGAUUAGAAACCCGAGUAGUCC
RNAcentral lists this ribosomal RNA (445 nucleotides) under uncultured bacterium. RNAcentral's name for it is "partial 16S ribosomal RNA". It matches the Rfam family "Bacterial small subunit ribosomal RNA", at positions 354 to 796 of the family's 1533-position model. The record is from RNAcentral.